GUUAUUAAUAAUUAAUAAUGGGACCUGGUCAGUGGUUAAAAACAAAAAAUAUAAGAAUUUUAAUUUUUAAUUAAACACACGCCUUAUAUUGAGGGUGAUAAAGUAGCAUAACCCUUUGACACUUAAUUGGUGCCUUGUAUGAAUGGUGAAACAAUUUAAACAUUGUCUCAGUAUUAAAAUUAAUGAAAUUUAAAUAUAAAUGAAUAUUUUUUAUAAAAAUUCGUUAGACGAUAAGUCCCCAUAAAUCUUUACUAAAAAUUGAAGUUUAUUCAAUUUGAUAGUUUGAUUGGGGGGAUCUUUUUUUUUUAAAUAACAAAAAAAUUUUAAAAUAAAUUAUAUAUUAAAUUUAAUUAUAAUAAGAUUUCUAUAUUUAAAAAGUAAAUUUAGACAAUAAAUAAUAAGACCAUUUUUUAUAUUCAAUAAAUUAAAAUUUAUAAUUGAUAAAAGAUACUUUGGGGAUAACAGCGACAUUUUCCACAUUAUUAGAAGAUAUAAUGGUGGGUAGAUUUUAUUCGGCCUCGAUGUUGAAUUAGAAUAUCCUUUUGGUGUAGGGGCCAAAGAGGGUUGGAUUGUUCGACCAUUAAUAUUCU
Molecule: ribosomal RNA, 590 nt
Filed under: Pegantha polystriata
Lineage: Eukaryota; Metazoa; Cnidaria; Hydrozoa; Narcomedusae; Solmarisidae
Description: partial large subunit ribosomal RNA
Rfam family: Bacterial large subunit ribosomal RNA
Source: RNAcentral